GACGAACGCUGGCGGCGUGCUUAACACAUGCAAGUCGAGCGGAAAGGCCACUUCGGUGGUACUCGAGCGGCGAACGGGUGAGUAACACGUGAGUAAUCUGCCCCUGGCUUUGGGAUAGCCACCGGAAACGGUGAUUAAUACCGGAUACGACCACGUCUCGCAUGGGAUGGUGGUGGAAAGGUUUUUCGGCCAGGGAUGUGCUCGCGGCCUAUCAGCUUGUUGGUGAGGUAAUGGCUCACCAUGGCUUCGACGGGUAGCCGGCCUGAGAGGGUGACCGGUCACACUGGGACUGAGACACGGCCCAGACUCCUACGGGAGGCAGCAGUGGGGAAUAUUGGACAAUGGGCGGAAGCCUGAUCCAGCAACGCCGCGUGAGGGAUGACGGCCUUCGGGUUGUAAACCUCUUUCAGCAGGGACGAAGCGCAAGUGACGGUACCUGCAGAAGAAGCACCGGCCAACUACGUGCCAGCCGCCGCAGUAA
This 481-nucleotide ribosomal RNA is filed under the name uncultured bacterium. RNAcentral describes it as "partial 16S ribosomal RNA". It matches the Rfam family "Bacterial small subunit ribosomal RNA", at positions 28 to 523 of the family's 1533-position model. The record is from RNAcentral.